CGGGUGCACUGAUCCAGCCGGGCCUUUCCCUCUGUGGAACCCCAUGGCCUUCACUGGCUGUGGCGGGGAAACAGGACUUUUACUUUGAAAAAUUAGAGUGCUCCAGGCAGGCCUAUGCUCGAAUACAUUAGCAUGGAAUAAUAGAAUAGGACGUGGUGGUUCUAUUUUUGUUGGUUUCUAGGACCGCCGUAAUGAUUAUAGGGACAGUCGGGGGCAUCAGUAUUCAAUGUCAGAGGUGAAAUUCUUGGAUCUAUUGAAGACUAACUACUGCGAAAGCAUUUGCCAAGGAUGUUUUCAUUGAUAAGGAACGAAAGUUAGGGGAUCGAAGACGAUCAGAUACCGUCGUAGUCUUAACUAUAAACUAUGCCGACUAGGGAUCGGACGAUGUUAUUCUUUGACGCGUUCGGCACCUUUCGAGAAAUCAAAGUGCUUGGGCUCCAGGGGGAGUAUGGUCGCAAGGCUGAAACUUAAAGAAAUUGACGGAAGGGCACCACCAGGGGUGGAACCUGCGGCUUAAUUUGACUCAACACGGGGAAACUCACCAGGUCCAGACACAGUGAGGAUUGACAGAUUGAGAGCUCUUUCUUGAUUCUGUGGGUGGUGGUGCAUGGCCGUUCUUAGUUGGUGGAGUGAUUUGUCUGCUUAAUUGCGAUAACGAACGAGACCUUAACCUGCUAAAUAGCCCGUACUGCUUUGGCAGUUCGCCGGCUUCUUAGAGGGACUAUCGG
This 728-nucleotide ribosomal RNA is filed under the name uncultured eukaryote. RNAcentral's name for it is "SSU rRNA". It matches the Rfam family "Eukaryotic small subunit ribosomal RNA", at positions 670 to 1426 of the family's 1831-position model. The record is from RNAcentral.